CUCUACGUAGCUCAGGGGAUAGAGCGUCCGCCUCCUAAGCGGAAGGUCGCAGGUUCAAUUCCUGUCGUGGAGACCA
This 76-nucleotide transfer RNA is filed under the name bacterium. Its description in RNAcentral is "tRNA-Arg". It matches the Rfam family "tRNA". From Rfam's summary of the family: Transfer RNA (tRNA) molecules are approximately 80 nucleotides in length. Their secondary structure includes four short double-helical elements and three loops (D, anti-codon, and T loops). Further hydrogen bonds mediate the characteristic L-shaped molecular structure. tRNAs have two regions of fundamental functional importance: the anti-codon, which is responsible for specific mRNA codon recognition, and the 3' end, to which the tRNAs corresponding amino acid is attached (by aminoacyl-tRNA synthetases). tRNAs cope with the degeneracy of the genetic code in two manners: having more than one tRNA (with a specific anti-codon) for a particular amino acid; and 'wobble' base-pairing, i.e. permitting non-standard base-pairing at the 3rd anti-codon position. The record is from RNAcentral.